Molecule: long non-coding RNA, 497 nt
Organism: Hermetia illucens (black soldier fly)
Lineage: Eukaryota; Metazoa; Arthropoda; Insecta; Diptera; Stratiomyidae
Exons: 2
Source: RefSeq, a predicted model, not a curated record
CUGCCAUCUUAUUUGGAAGCUGAAUACUUCAAACAAAUGCAAAAUGAAGAUACUCGCACUGGGGUAAUUUCUUAACUAUAAAUAUUGGCAUAGCAACCUCGUCAAUGCAUUAGAUAGUACAGUUCCAGACUGUAAGUUUCAAACCAUCAGUUGCAAAAUGAAAUCCCUCGUUAUCUUGGUUAUCAUGGCGGCGGUAGUCCUCGCAGAUGUUUCGCACCUCACAUCAACUUCAACAGAACAUUCUCUGAAUCCAGAGGAUCAACAGACUUCCGAUGGGUCAGGAGCAGCACCCGAAAUCAAUUCUUCCACGAGCCGGGAAUAUUUACCACCCCCGGGAGUAACAACUGAGCCUAUUCCUGCACAUACUUUUGGCGCUGAUGGGUACAAAUACAAAGAGCCACAAAAAAAAAAUUUUUCUUUUAAAUGAAUCUUUCGAAAUAAUUGUACGAAUAACUACACCGAACCAUUUCAAAUAAAAUCAUCAAAUUAAAAGUUGA